RNAcentral lists this ribosomal RNA (301 nucleotides) under uncultured bacterium. RNAcentral describes it as "partial 16S ribosomal RNA". It matches the Rfam family "Bacterial small subunit ribosomal RNA", at positions 509 to 809 of the family's 1533-position model. The record is from RNAcentral.
CAGUAGCCGCGGUAAAACAGAGGGUGCGAGCGUUAAUCGGAUUUACUGGGCGUAAAGCGUGCGUAGGCGGCUAAUUGAGUCGGAUGUGAAAUCCCCGAGCUUAACUUGGGAAUUGCAUUCGAUACUGGUUAGCUAGAGUGUGGGAGAGGAUGGUAGAAUUCCAGGUGUAGCGGUGAAAUGCGUAGAGAUCUGGAGGAAUACCGAUGGCGAAGGCAGCCAUCUGGCCUAAUACUGACGCUGAGGUACGAAAGCAUGGGGAGCAAACAGGAUUAGAUACCCCCGUAGUCCCUGUCUCUUAUAA